AUGACCGACGCCAAAGAGCCGGACGCUCAGGCGGGUUAUGAAAAGGGCUAUACCGUUGCCCUGGCCGCACAGGCCGGGGCGGACAUGAUCAACCUCAGCGUCG
This 103-nucleotide non-coding RNA is filed under the name Falsiruegeria mediterranea M17. Its description in RNAcentral is "Ruegeria mediterranea M17 PYLIS_3". It matches the Rfam family "Pyrrolysine insertion sequence mttB". Lineage: Bacteria; Pseudomonadati; Pseudomonadota; Alphaproteobacteria; Rhodobacterales; Roseobacteraceae. The record is from RNAcentral.